RNAcentral lists this ribosomal RNA (254 nucleotides) under uncultured bacterium. Its description in RNAcentral is "partial 16S ribosomal RNA". It matches the Rfam family "Bacterial small subunit ribosomal RNA", at positions 524 to 776 of the family's 1533-position model. The record is from RNAcentral.
UACGUAGGGGGCGAGCGUUGUCCGGAUUCAUUGGGCGUAAAGAGCUCGUAGGCGGUUUGGCAAGUCGGGUGUGAAAUCUCUGGGCUCAACUCAGAGAGGCCACUCGAUACUGCUAUGACUAGAGUCCGGUAGGGGACCAUGGAAUUCCUGGUGUAGCGGUGAAAUGCGCAGAUAUCAGGAGGAACACCGGUGGCGAAGGCGGGUCUCUGGGCAACAACUGACGCUGAGGAGCGAAAGCGUGGGGAGCGAACAGG